Molecule: non-coding RNA, 561 nt
Organism: Malus domestica (apple)
Lineage: Eukaryota; Viridiplantae; Streptophyta; Magnoliopsida; Rosales; Rosaceae
Source: RefSeq, a predicted model, not a curated record
UUUUGUAACGGAAUGAAGAUAGAUCCUAUCCGAAGUUUAUUACCUUUUCAGUUUAAUAAGAAGAUCAGAGUCUGUGUAUGCAGAAUUUGGAGACCUAAGGUUAUAGGAAAGGAUAAUACGUUUGGCGGUCUUCAAUGUAUAUUCAUUGACGAAAUGGAGAUCGGAUUUUUCGAAUUUGUGACUUUUCUUUGAAGCCUGCGAAGACCUCUGUGUUUGAGGUGGGUGCUUUUGGCAUUCCACAGGUUUGAUUCAACUUGCAGCUUGAGGUUUUCAUUUGAAGGGAAAGUAUUGCAUUCUUAUGAAUUCUACGUCGCUACUCAGGAACUAGCUGAAACCUUAAACCUUAACAUAAUGAAGAUGAAGAUGAGCUGGAAACAAUGAAGUAGGAAAAUCUAGAUUCAGUAACAUGUUCAUAGUCUAUCUAAAUAUUUUGAAUAAUGAGCAGUUUAAUGCUGUUAAUCUUUUGAUCGUGGUAAUAUGUUACUAAUUUACUUUCUCAACAACAGAUAUGUAAAUAUUGAUAUAUAAAACUUAUUUUAUGUUAAAUAGUAUUUUCUUAAA